This 119-nucleotide ribosomal RNA is filed under the name Pteropus alecto (black flying fox). Lineage: Eukaryota; Metazoa; Chordata; Mammalia; Chiroptera; Pteropodidae. The record is from RNAcentral.
AUCUACAGCCAUGUGACCCUGAACAAGCCCGAUCCUGUCUGAUCUUGGAAGCUAAGCAGGGUCAGGCCUGGUUAGUACUUGGAUGGGAGACCACCCAGGAAGACCAGGUGCUGUAGGCU